AGAGUUUGAUCCUGGCUCAGAUUGAACGCUGGCGGCAUGCUUUACACAUGCAAGUCGAACGGCAGCACGGGUGCUUGCACCUGGUGGCGAGUGGCGAACGGGUGAGUAAUGCACCGGAACGUACCCAGUAAUGGGGGAUAACACAUCGAAAGAUGUGCUAAUACCGCAUACGCCCUGAGGGGGAAAGCGGGGGAUCGUAAGACCUCGCGUUAUUGGAGCGGCCGAUGCCGGAUUAGCUAGUUGGUGAGGUAAGAGCUCACCAAGGCGACGAUCCGUAGCUGGUCUGAGAGGACGACCAGCCACACUGGGACUGAGACACGGCCCAGACUCCUACGGGAGGCAGCAGUGGGGAAUUUUGGACAAUGGGCGCAAGCCUGACCCAGCCAUGCCGCGUGAGUGAAGAAGGCCUUCGGGUUGUAAAGCUCUUUCGCAAGGAAAGAAAACUUAUCUACUAA
Molecule: ribosomal RNA, 455 nt
Filed under: uncultured bacterium
Lineage: Bacteria
Description: bacterial SSU rRNA
Rfam family: Bacterial small subunit ribosomal RNA
Source: RNAcentral